This is a non-coding RNA of Nostoc calcicola FACHB-389, 37 nucleotides long. The record is from Rfam. Lineage: Bacteria; Bacillati; Cyanobacteriota; Cyanophyceae; Nostocales; Nostocaceae.
AUUGCAAUUCCACCUAAUCCCUAUUAGGGAUUGAAAC